RNAcentral lists this ribosomal RNA (262 nucleotides) under uncultured bacterium. RNAcentral describes it as "partial 16S ribosomal RNA". It matches the Rfam family "Bacterial small subunit ribosomal RNA", at positions 337 to 616 of the family's 1533-position model. The record is from RNAcentral.
ACCUACGGGAGGCAGCAGUGGGGAAUAUUGCACAAUGGGGGAAACCCUGAUGCAGCAACGCCGCGUGAGUGAAGAAGUCAUUCGUGAUGUAAAGCUCUAUCAGCAGGGAAGAAAAUGACGGUACCUGAGUAAGAAGCCCCGGCUAACUACGUGCCAGCAGCCGCGGUAAUACGUAGGGGGCAAGCGUUAUCCGGAUUUACUGGGUGUAAAGGGAGCGUAGACGGCAUGGCAAGUCAGAUGUGAAAGCCCGGGGCUCAACCCC